GGCAGUGUAGCUGUCGCUGAAAGCAUGUAUGUGUAAUUUCUUUCUUUAAGCCUUUAAAGUAUUUAUUUGUUAUGUUAUUAUUACAAUAAUGCACUGUAAAUAUUAAUAGUAAUUUGCCUAUGUGAGUUUUGUUUUACAAGGGUUGCAGAAAUAGUGACACCUGCAGGUUAAACUAGUGAGCUGCAUUUAAUUUAAGUUACUGUGGUCAUGUGAUUAGCCUAACUAAUAGCAGUGCAAAAUGUGCAUGCAGUUUGUUGGUGCUAUGCUGUACACGGAGUUAGAUGCUAAAGAAGAGAAUAAUUAAACAGUAAAGCGUUACAGCAACUCCUAGAUUUCUGGUCGGAAGGCGCACACGGCAUGGCAAAUAUGAGUGUUAACUUUGAAUUUUGAGGCUUCCAGCAUCCCAGUACUCUCCUUCAGCAUGUCGCUUCACUGGGACAAGUCAGUCAUCCCCACAUGCGUGUUUAAACAAGAGCUCAAAACCAAAACCUCCACUGACGGACAAGGCAGGGAAGCAUCAUAAAACAAGCAACAAGCCUGCAAGUUCAUC
This is a long non-coding RNA of Ictalurus punctatus (channel catfish), 550 nucleotides long. Lineage: Eukaryota; Metazoa; Chordata; Actinopteri; Siluriformes; Ictaluridae. The record is from Ensembl.